RNAcentral lists this ribosomal RNA (497 nucleotides) under uncultured bacterium. Its description in RNAcentral is "partial 16S ribosomal RNA". It matches the Rfam family "Bacterial small subunit ribosomal RNA", at positions 28 to 507 of the family's 1533-position model. The record is from RNAcentral.
GAUGAACGCUGGCGGCGUGCCUAAUACAUGCAAGUCGAGCGAACAGACGAGGAGCUUGCUCCUCUGACGUUUGCGGAGGACGGGUGAGUAACACGUGGAUAACCUACCUAUAAGACUGGGAUAACUUCGGGAAUCGGGCGCUAAUCCGGGAUAAUAUCUUGAUCCGCAUGGUUCAUUAGUGAAAGUCGGUUUUGCUGUCUCUAAUAGAUGGUUCCGCGCCGCAUUAGCUAGUUGGUAAGGUAACGGGUUACCAAGGCAAGCAGGCGUGGCCGACCGGAGGGGGUGAUCGGCGACCCGAGAACGUGAACACGGUCCAGAGGCCUACGGGAGGCAGCAGAAGGGAAUCUGCCGCAGUGGGCGAGAGCCUGACGGAGCAACGCCGCGUGAGUGAUGGAGGUCUCCGGAUCGGAAAGCUCUGUUAUUAGGGAAGAACAAAUGUGUAAGUAACUAUGCACGUCUUGACGGUACCUGAUCAGAAAGCCACGGCUAACUACGUG